AACGCAGGAUGCAAUUACAGUCCUUCAUCGUGUGGAAGUACUGCCAUUACCCUGCGGACAGUAAGAGGCUGCGGCGAAGUUAGGGUGACCUGGCCGGUCAGCCGGACGGGAUGCUCUGCGGCAGUGACAUUU
Small nucleolar RNA from Paramormyrops kingsleyae, 132 nucleotides. Ensembl annotates it as small nucleolar RNA SNORA69. The record is from Ensembl. Lineage: Eukaryota; Metazoa; Chordata; Actinopteri; Osteoglossiformes; Mormyridae.